Molecule: ribosomal RNA, 463 nt
Filed under: uncultured bacterium
Lineage: Bacteria
Description: partial 16S ribosomal RNA
Rfam family: Bacterial small subunit ribosomal RNA
Source: RNAcentral
GAUGAACGCUGACAGAAUGCUUAACACAUGCAAGUCUUUGGCGAAGCUGUGCUUGCACAGCCUAGCCAAGGCGGACGGGUGAGUAACGCGUAAGGAACUUGCCCUGCAGUCAGGGAUAACAGACGGAAACGACUGAUAAGACCUGGUAAAGUCAGGCGGACUCAUGUCCAGCCUGAUGAAAAGUGAUGCUGCAGGAGAGCCUUGCGUCCUAUUAGCUUGUUGAUGGGGUAACGGCCCACCAAGGCGAUGAUAGGUAGCCGGCCUGAGAGGGUGGACGGCCACAAGGGGACUGAGAUACGGCCCUUACUCCUACGGGAGGCAGCAGUGGGGAAUAUUGGACAAUGGGGGCAACCCUGAUCCAGCAAUUCUGUGUGCACGAUGAAGGUUUUCGGAUUGUAAAGUGCUUUCAGCAGGGAAGAAAAAAAUGACGGUACCUGCAGAAGAAGCGACGGCUAAAUACGUG